Suricata suricatta (meerkat) is the source of this 6172-nucleotide long non-coding RNA. RefSeq lists it as uncharacterized. The record is from RefSeq and is a predicted model, not a curated record. NCBI's taxonomy places the organism in Eukaryota, Metazoa, Chordata, Mammalia, Carnivora, Herpestidae. The transcript is spliced from 5 exons.
UGUGCGAUGAUCGCUGCGGCCAUGAGAGUCCGUGGAAAAGAAGGUUUCUGAAUAAGACAUUAAAGGAAGAGCUUCUCUGAAACGAAUCCUCCCAGGGCACAAGCGAGCCUCCUUGGGGACUUCUCCAGGCAAGAAUGACCACAGCAGUGAGGAAGGCUGUGUCCCAGUGCCCUGGGAUCCUUCAGAAGCAGGAUAGGAUUCUGACCAUGAACAUGGAAGCAGAGGACCGAUCGUAGGGGAAAGAGACCAUGCUGCCAGCACACGGUCACGUGCCGGUUUCAAGUUUCUGGCUAAGCUGCCCAGUCUCGGAGCUCUUUAGCCACUGUGUUCUUGAAACUUCAAAGGAAGGGCUUCACCGUAUCCCUUCUUGCUGAAAGGCCAGCGGAGACUGUUUUUAGAAAACUUGUUAUCUCUGGAGACAACAAAUGCAAAGUUUGGAAAAAUUCUCCGGCUCAGCAGAUGCCUUGGCCUCACCCACACGGUGGCCCGAGAAGUAAGGAUGAGGCGUCCAGCUCAGGUCAAGAACUUGCUGAAAGAAGAUCCCACAGGUGACUCUUCAGAGAUGCCAGAGCUGGGAGAUGCCUCAGAAUGUUCCAGUACCUUAGACCAGCAUUAGAGAACCUCCAGAUGGAAGGCCAAGCGGCUGCCCUGCCCCAGAGAAGAGUUUCAAGCAGGAGAGGGAAGCAGAAGGCACGACGGCAAUGAAAGUGGCCCAAACCGCAGGCCGGACCGGACGGAGGCUCCGUGAGGAAGAAGCACGUCCCAUCCUCCUCUGAGCGCCGUGGGACUUGGGGUGGAGGCUGGCCAUGGCUGCGGACACUGUGGUCCAGGCGGACGGACCAGCGCUUCUGCGCGGUCGUGGGCGGAGAUGCGCCCCUGACUGAAGACGGGCCUGCCUUCCCUGGGACGACUUCCAGCUCAUGUAAGAGGAAGGUGACCCCGUCCUUGCUGUCACUCCUUCCCCCGGAUGCCCCCCCAACCCAGGCAGCCUCUCCAGGUUCACCCUGAUACCCAGAGGUUGGCAGGGGCCUCCUCCCCACUGCGUCUGCUGCCGCCUGGCAGUGCCCUGGGGGGGCGGGGGGCUACGGCAGGGUCAAGAAGGACUGGGUACCGCUGCAGAGCUGUCCGCGCAUGUGCUGGCUGGCAUGGGGAUCGCCCUCCCCAUGAACUUGUAGCCUGUGCCUGAAACAUCUCUGUGCUCACGACACCUGGCUGAGCACCUGGCGUGGAGCGGGGGGCUCCCGUGGCUCCCGGCAGCCAGGGAGUUCAUGGAGCCCGGGGGGGGGGGGGGACAGGUGUUCGUGACCACCCGAGGUGAGCCCCCUCGCCCCCUAACCCCCAGUGAGUCCAUCCUCCCCUCCGCGCGUGACGAAUGCCUGGGGUCCCAAGCACAGAACGCGCACGGCACCCCUUGUCUUUCAUUAGCCGCGGAGUCCCCGUGUCCCCCACGAACAAGGGACAAACCCCGUGUAUACGUGCAGGGUUUUGAAUCGCCAGGGAGGACUCCUCUGCUUUCCUUUAAAGCUAGUAAGUUGGAAAUGUUGUUGACCAGAUUCGCAAGAGCUAGGCCCGGAUGCUGGCAGCGCCCCUGGCACCCGCGUCUCCUGGGAGCCUGGGCUGCUUCUAAACAGCCAAACCCUGAAGCCAGUGGAGAUGCGAGCACUUUGCUGAGGGUUAAGGAGGGAAAGCAAAAGAAAGGGAGGGCCCUUGGCGGUCGCCUCCGUAUCUGCUCACCGGGGCCUCUGGGCUCACGGGAAGGUCUCUGGGCAGGAGCACAGCUGCCGCCAGGGGGCUCUGCUCCAGGCUUGGAAGCUUUUAGCUGGAAUGUCAUUUCCAGUAUUGACGAUGGGUGUCUGGAAUACUCUCUCAAAGUACUCCCCUGAUGACCUUCCCAACACCCACUGAAGAGAAAUUCAUGCAGACAGGUAGGGGCGUGGAGAUGGCUAACCAAGUGAAGGCGUUGGGGGAGCAGGGCGCUGGAGGGGCAAGUGCCUCUGAGCUUGGUGCUCCUAGGCAGCUGGCAAAGCUGCUCCAGAGGCUUCUAGAAAACUGCUUGAGAAACCAAGUCUAGAAGGAAAGCCGUAAAGGGCUUCGUGAUAUGUAAAGCCCCCCCUCCCCAUCCCCACCGCCCCCCAGCCCGUGCAGGACACCAGGAGAGCCCUGCUUCCGGAAAGGCCGAGCCAGGCUCUCUGUUGCCCGCUCAGCACUGGCCAGCCGCACUGGGCCUCUGAGCCUCUCGGCCCGUGUGUGACGCCCUCAUGGCGGCGGCGGCGGCGGCCCUGCCUGCAGUGCCCACACUGCCGAGGGCUUCGGGUCUCUCGUGACCCCCUACAGCCCUGGGAACUAGGCUGUUCCUGCCCUGGCGCUAGAACGAGGAAAGGAACUCAAGUUACAUCACUCAGCCAAUAGCAUGCAGCUGCUAAGUGGACAUGCAGGGGCUCAGUGCCAGAAGUUUCCACGCACCCCUCAUGGGACUGUUCCUUGUGUUGCCGGAAUCGCCAGCCCACUUUGCCUCUGAUGUGUGGCUGUGCUGAAGUGGUCUCCGUCCACAGCGCCUUCUGCAGCCUGUCAGAGCCACAAAAUGGUUUCUAAGAGACCAAGUCUAGCAGGAAGAACCUCCCGGUGCCGGUGACAGCCGCGGUCGAGAGAGGCCUCCGGCUUCCUGCCAGCAGCCCCUGGGAUUUCUGCUGUGGCAGCUCAGGGAACCGCUCGAAUCGCAGCAGAUGCAGAAACCUAGGAUUCUGCUCAAGAUCCUGCGAGUCAGGAAAGUGGGCCGAGCAGAGCAGGAGAGAGUUAGGUCUGAUCCGGGCCUCAGCCAGAGUGGCCCAGGGGCUGGGUUGCUAAGAUGGUUGGAUUGUGGCCGGAGUUCAGAGGCCUUGGUUCUGUGUGCCAGCUGCCUUCCCUGCCUUCCUCCUCUUCAUGGGGCAUCUGCCGAAAUGGGGCCAAAAUGCCCAAAAUUGCUUUUUCACUCGUGUUCAGUGCUUCUGUGUUCUCCCUUGUGGUUUCUCUCUUCAGAGUGACUAAAUAUAAUAUCUGCUCUUUGGUGCCACAGAACGUGCCUUGCCCCAAGCCCCUUCUGCAGGGGCGCCACCGCCCGGGCCUGCGACCGUGCUUCUUAGCCCCUCCCCCCCCAGGAGGACCAGGACCCAGUAGAAGCUGCCCAAUGACUUUUGAAGUCCCCUGGCUGGCUCAAAAAUUUGAGGAAUGCCAGUCAGACCAGUCAGAGUUCCCCUUUGGGGACAUUUGAAUCAAAAAAUCAGACAGUAUCAGCACAGUGCCUGACAGGAUGUCAUGAGGGCCAAUAGGGCCCUGGUGGGCCAGUGUGCUGGCCAGGAUUAAGCUGAAGAAGGAAUGCUGGAGAUAGAAGAGAAAACCGGCUGUGACACGAGAGAACGCACUGAGUGUGGAGGGAGCCACGAGGCUGUUCUGGCGACGGGAGAAAGGAGGGAAUGGCGAGCGCAGAGCAGAGACCUGUGAGAGGCCGAGGGGGAAGCCAGUCCCAGGGCCACCCGAGUGCCCUCUGGCCCCCGGGCCCGGCCUGGCCACAUGUGUCAUGGCAGCUGGCCCGUUACUUAUUCCCUAGACUGUCAGGUGGCGUUGAACUGGGCGUGUGACCUGGCUCCAUGAAUGAAAAUUAUGAGGAAGUGGCUUGAGAACCUUCUAGGAAGAACUUUGCUUUUUGGUUAAAGAGGGGAGGAGCCUGUCCCUCCUCCCGCUUUGAACGCGGAUGUCGGCGGGCACAAUAGUUAGGACCGUAGCCACCGUCCUGAGACCUAGAGGCAACCAGACCAAAGGAAAAAGCCAACAUACCAAGGUUGGCCUAGCGGACAGACAAAAAGAGCCCGAGUCCUUGAUGAUAUCGUUGAGCCACUAUACCUAUCCUGGAACCCGAUACAUUAAUUAAAUGUCCUUAUUUUUAAAGCAGAUUUCUGCUGUUUGAAACUGAGACAUUCGUAACCAGUGUAUCAUUCUUCUGAAUCUGCCCAUCAGCGACCCCUUAGAGCCCCAUUGUACUUGGUUGAGAUACAAAUGGAAACCUAUGGCCCAAACUUAGCCAGUGGAAAUCUGACUUCCAUGGUAGGAAAUACAGGCCAAGAUUUCUCACAGCCUACAGAGCAAUUCCAGCUCAGUCCCAAAUCCCAGGGCCUGCUGGACACAAACGAGGAAAGACAGACUCAGGAAAGUUCUAGAUACAUGGAGAGGAGUCUUCUAUUACGGGGCUCAGUGAUGAAUUUGUGGAUGAACCAGUUCAGUGGAGGGAGAGGGGGAGAGCCUAAGCAUGGGCCAGAAAGCCGCGGAUAGCACGCCGAGGGAGCAGCGAGCCUACGGGCAAGUGGGGCGGGUCAGGUCACUGCUGUAGGAGGCCAGGGUGCGCAGCAGGAUUUUCUGAGGACCGGGGACUCCCUGGCGGGGGGGUUGCGCUGUGGUGACUGCAGCUAAACUGGGGGGAUACUCGGCAUUUUAGUGAAGCCUCCUGCCAGUCCUAGUGGAAUUUUAGGUCCUCUGAGGAACAAGGAGGCCUGAAUUGUGACUGUUCACCCUUCGUGUGGGCGCCCCCCAACCGCCACGCUCUUCACUCUCUUCUCCACCUGUCCCCUUUUCUCCACCACUUCUUCCUGUCUUCUCGGCAAAGCCAGGAGCCGGAAACGCACCCGGUCUCUUCUACCUCAGUUGGAGAGUAAAGAAACCGAGAGGCAAUGCCUUUAGGAAACAUCGAAGCUUCGUCUGGGCUGCUGAGAACGGCAUAAAGCUGUCGGCUGCCCCGACUUUGAUCAAGCGAGGGCACGGGGGCGGGGCUUGCCUCUUCAACUCCCCACAGAGAACGUGUGGUCCUUCCUUCCCUGAUGAAAUGCGAGGUCGAACUCUAGGCCUUCCUCUUUCGAUUUCCAGUUUCGGACACACAACAAAGACACACUGGCGUCGUCCUCACACAGUGAGAACUUGAGAGAAGCCACCCACCCGUCUGACACCCCCAGACCGUCAGUAGUAGUAGACAUGUGGCCCGUGGAAGGUCAUCAGACGAAUGGGGCCCCAACACGGAUGUGUUGCAAUGACAUUCGAAUUUGUGACCAGCAGAUUCUGCCACUAAGCCCCGUGCCCCCUGCAUGUCGCAGGGGUCACCCCCCCACCCAGGGGCCCACACCAGGCCAGCCCUGAUGUUUGUCCACUGUGUUACUUCAUUUACUUAGCAGAAGUGUACUGAAUACCUAGUAGAAUUAUAAGCCAGGCCCAGAAAAGCAAUGAUGCUCUUAGGAAGAUAAGUCACUAAAGACGAAAACAGAACACAAUUCCUGACAUAAUCAGAGAAAAGAAUGAAAGCUCUGGGGUGGAUGAGAAAGUUUACCCCCUCCUGUGAUGUGAUCGAUGCUUCGAUGUGCCCUGACACCCCCGCCACACCCCCCAGCUGCCCCAUCCGUUGCGAAGGUUUCUCUGAAAUCCAAUAAGGAAAAGAACCGAAGGCUUUUCUUCCCUCCGGGUAAUCAAGGUUUUUUCUCCAGUAUGAAUUGGCCUGAUUACGGAUUAAACGCUCUCCCCCAGUCUGUGCAACCCGAGAGUCUUUCCCAUGAAUUCUCCAGUGACGAGAAAAGGCUACAGAUCCCCAAGUGAUUUUCCGCAUUGAUGAUACUCACGGGCUUCUCCUGAGGAUGAAUGAUCUCGUGGUCAGAACGCUCCGCACUUCCCCUAGAUAGUCUCCAUGUGCGUCACACGUGACCGCCUCACGUCCCCACGAAAUUAGCUGACGUCGUCUAAGGGUGGAACGCGGGCUGAAGGCUCUCCCUCACCCAUUAUGCUCGCCGAGCACCUCCCUGCUCUGAGAUCCCAGAUGUCUAAUUAGCUCCGAGCACCGUCAAAGCAUUUUCACAGCCGUUACGUGCGUGUGGCUUUUCUCCAGUGUGAAUUCUCUGACGUUUAAUGAGCUCUUCUGCCUGAAAGCCCUCACAUUUGUUGCAUCUGUAGAGUUCCUGCUGCUUGUGAAUAAGCCGAUUCCGUGUGGUCCUAGGAUGCUGGCAGAUGCCUCCCCAGAUCGGGAUUCUCUGCAAGAGGAAUGUUCCAGUGUGUAGUAGGAUGGGAGCUUCUCCCACUCCCCGAGCCGUGAACGUUGCCUGUAUUCAUAACAAGGUUUUCUAAUACAGAUACUGUAAUGCUGAAUAAAUCCUGACCUCUGUUCUAA